UAAUGUCUCUUCCUUCAAGGGUUGAGAAGAAAGGUGCAAACCGCUUUGAGACGGGCUUAUCUCCUAUCACGGCAGUUGGUAAGGUAACGGCUUACCAAACCUACGACGGGUAGCUGGUCUGAGAGGACGGUCAGCCACAUUGUGACUGAGACACGGCCCAGAACUCCUACGGGAGGCAGCAGCCGGGAAUAUUCGGCAAUGGGCGAAAGCCUGACCGAGCGACACCGCGUGAGCGACGAAAGCCUUCGGGUCGUACAGCUCUUUUAUUUGGGAAGAAUGCCUAGUAAUAUGUUCGACGGUACCAUUUGAAUAAGCCCCAGCUAACAACGUGCCAACAGCUGCGGAAAAUACGUAGGGGGCAAGCGUUAUACGGAAUCACUGGGCGUAAAGGGUACGAAUGUGUACCCGUAAAGAUUAGAAUGUAAAAUCGCAAGGCUCAACCUUGCGGCUGCAUCUAAUACUGACAGGAUAGAGGAUAGGUGACGGAAGUGGAAUUCCUGGUGGAGAGGUAAAAUCCGUAGAUAUCAGGGGGAACACCCGUGGCGUAGGCGGCUUCCGAACCUAUUCCUGACACUCAGGGACGAAAGCUAGGGGAGCAAACAGGAUUAGAUACCCUGGUAGUCCUAGCUGUAAACGAUGAAUACUAGAUAGUGGGUGCUACACCGUACUCACCGUCGUAGCUAACGCGUUAAGUAUUUCGCCUGGGAACUACGACCGCAAGUUUGAAACUCAAAGGAAUUGACGGGUCCCCGCACAAGCAGCGAGGCAUGUGGCUUAAUUCGAUGCAACACGAAGAACCUUACCUGGACUUGACAUGUUUCUGAAAGGCCGGAGAAACCCGGUCCCUUCCAGUUUACUGGAACAGUUUCACAGGUGGUGCAUGGUUGUCGUCAGCUCGUGUCGUGAGAUGUAAGGUUAAGUCCUUAAACGAGCGUAACCUUUGUCAUUAGUUGCCACCGGUUCGGCCGAGCACUCUAAUGAGACCGCUAGCGACAAGCUAGAGGAAGAUGGAGAUGACGUCAAAUCCUCACGUCCCUUAUAUCCAGGGCCGCACACAUGCGACAAUGGUAGAGACAGCGGGUUGCGACGGGGUAACCCUGAGCUAAUCCAUAAACUCUGCCUCAGUACAGAUCGAGGGCUGAAAUUCGACCUCGUGAAGAUGGAGUUGCUAGUAAACGCAGGUCAGCUCUACUGCGUUGA
RNAcentral lists this ribosomal RNA (1200 nucleotides) under uncultured organism. RNAcentral describes it as "bacterial SSU rRNA". It matches the Rfam family "Bacterial small subunit ribosomal RNA", at positions 173 to 1365 of the family's 1533-position model. The record is from RNAcentral.